This 128-nucleotide non-coding RNA is filed under the name Anabas testudineus (climbing perch). RNAcentral's name for it is "U4atac minor spliceosomal RNA (ENSATEG00000012693.2)". It matches the Rfam family "U4atac minor spliceosomal RNA". From Rfam's summary of the family: U4atac is an essential component of the minor U12-type spliceosome complex which is required for removal of the rarer class of eukaryotic introns (AT-AC, U12-type). The record is from Rfam by way of RNAcentral. Lineage: Eukaryota; Metazoa; Chordata; Actinopteri; Anabantiformes; Anabantidae.
GCCGUCCUUGUCUCGGGGUGGUCUGGGAAACUCGAUGAGCGUCUGGUGAGAGCUUCCCUGCUGACACCACGUCAACACACACGCACCACCUGAGCUCCGGCUUCAGGCUCGGUGCAAUUUUUGGAAAC